RNAcentral lists this ribosomal RNA (2445 nucleotides) under Staphylococcus pseudintermedius. RNAcentral describes it as "partial 23S ribosomal RNA". It matches the Rfam family "Bacterial large subunit ribosomal RNA", at positions 380 to 2832 of the family's 2925-position model. Lineage: Bacteria; Bacillati; Bacillota; Bacilli; Caryophanales; Staphylococcaceae. The record is from RNAcentral.
CGAAAACGAAUUCUCUCUUGAGUGGAUCCUGAGUACGACGGAGCACGUGAAAUUCCGUCGGAAUCUGGGAGGACCAUCUCCUAAGGCUAAAUACUCUCUAGUGACCGAUAGUGAACCAGUACCGUGAGGGAAAGGUGAAAAGUACCCCGGAAGGGGAGUGAAAGAGAACUUGAAACCGUGUGCUUACAAGUAGUCAGAGCCCGUUAAUGGGUGAUGGCGUGCCUUUUGUAGAAUGAACCGGCGAGUUACGAUCUGAUGCAAGGUUAAGCAGAAAAUGUGGAGCCGUAGCGAAAGCGAGUCUGAAUAGGGCGAAUGAGUAUUUGGUCGUAGACCCGAAACCAGGUGAUCUACCCUUGGUCAGGUUGAAGUUCAGGUAACACUGAAUGGAGGACCGAACCGACUUACGUUGAAAAGUGAGCGGAUGAACUGAGGGUAGCGGAGAAAUUCCAAUCGAACUUGGAGAUAGCUGGUUCUCUCCGAAAUAGCUUUAGGGCUAGCCUCAAGUGAUGAUUAUUGGAGGUAGAGCACUGUUUGGACGAGGGGCCCCUCUCGGGUUACCGAAUUCAGACAAACUCCGAAUGCCAAAUAAUUUAACUUGGGAGUCAGAAUGUGGGUGAUAAGGUCCAUAUUCGAAAGGGAAACAGCCCAGACCACCAGCUAAGGUCCCAAAAUAUAUGUUAAGUGGAAAAGGAUGUGGCGUUGCCCAGACAACUAGGAUGUUGGCUUAGAAGCAGCCAUCAUUUAAAGAGUGCGUAAUAGCUCACUAGUCGAGUGACACUGCGCCGAAAAUGUACCGGGGCUAAACAUAUUACCGAAGCUGUGGAUUGUCCUUUGGACAAUGGUAGGAGAGCGUUCUAAGGGCGUUGAAGCAUGAUCGCAAGGACAUGUGGAGCGCUUAGAAGUGAGAAUGCCGGUGUGAGUAGCGAAAGACGGGUGAGAAUCCCGUCCACCGAUUGACUAAGGUUUCCAGAGGAAGGCUCGUCCGCUCUGGGUUAGUCGGGUCCUAAGCUGAGGCCGACAGGCGUAGGCGAUGGAUAACAGGUUGAUAUUCCUGUACCACCAUUAUUCGUUUUAAGCGAUGGGGGGACGCAGUAGGAUAGGCGAAGCGUGCUGUUGGAGUGCACGUCCAAGCAGUGAGAUUGAGUGUUAGGCAAAUCCGGCACUCUUAAGAUUGAGCUGUGAUGGGGAGAGGAACUUGUUCCUCGAGUCGUUGAUUUCACACUGCCGAGAAAAGCCUCUAGCUAGAAUAACGGUGCCCGUACCGCAAACCGACACAGGUAGUCAAGAUGAGAAUUCUAAGGUGAGCGAGCGAACUCUCGUUAAGGAACUCGGCAAAAUGACCCCGUAACUUCGGGAGAAGGGGUGCUCUUUGAGGUUCACGCUUCGAAGAGCCGCAGUGAAUAGGCCCAAGCGACUGUUUAUCAAAAACACAGGUCUCUGCUAAACCGUAAGGUGACGUAUAGGGGCUGACGCCUGCCCGGUGCUGGAAGGUUAAGAGGAGUGGUUAGCGCAAGCGAAGCUACGAAUCGAAGCCCCAGUAAACGGCGGCCGUAACUAUAACGGUCCUAAGGUAGCGAAAUUCCUUGUCGGGUAAGUUCCGACCCGCACGAAAGGCGUAACGAUUUGGGCACUGUCUCAACGAGAGACUCGGUGAAAUCAUAGUACCGGUGAAGAUGCCGGUUACCCGCGACAGGACGGAAAGACCCCGUGGAGCUUUACUGUAGCCUGAUAUUGAAAUUCGGUACAGUUUGUACAGGAUAGGUAGGAGCCUUAGAAGCGUGAGCGCUAGCUUACGUGGAGGCAUUGGUGGGAUACUACCCUAAUUGUAUUGGAUUUCUAACCCGCAGCACUUAUCGUGCUGGGAGACAGUGUCAGGCGGGCAGUUUGACUGGGGCGGUCGCCUCCUAAAGAGUAACGGAGGCGCUCAAAGGUUCCCUCAGAAUGGUUGGAAAUCAUUCAUAGAGUGUAAAGGCAUAAGGGAGCUUGACUGCGAGACCUACAAGUCGAGCAGGGUCGAAAGACGGACUUAGUGAUCCGGUGGUUCCGCAUGGAAGGGCCAUCGCUCAACGGAUAAAAGCUACCCCGGGGAUAACAGGCUUAUCUCCCCCAAGAGUUCACAUCGACGGGGAGGUUUGGCACCUCGAUGUCGGCUCAUCGCAUCCUGGGGCUGUAGUCGGUCCCAAGGGUUGGGCUGUUCGCCCAUUAAAGCGGUACGCGAGCUGGGUUCAGAACGUCGUGAGACAGUUCGGUCCCUAUCCGUCGUGGGCGUAGGAAAUUUGAGAGGAGCUGUCCUUAGUACGAGAGGACCGGGAUGGACAUACCUCUGGUGUACCAGUUGUCGUGCCAACGGCAUAGCUGGGUAGCUAUGUAUGGACGGGAUAAGUGCUGAAAGCAUCUAAGCAUGAAGCCCCCCUCGAGAUGAGAUUUCCCAACUUCGGUUAUAAG